GAUGUGACACAUCCUAGUACUACGAAUCUGCCGAAUCUGCCUCCAGAUUCGUAGUACUAGGAUGUGUCAC
Molecule: unclassified non-coding RNA, 70 nt
Filed under: Oryza sativa (Asian cultivated rice)
Lineage: Eukaryota; Viridiplantae; Streptophyta; Magnoliopsida; Poales; Poaceae
Description: partial microRNA MIR468g-3-as precursor
Source: RNAcentral